Long non-coding RNA from Gambusia affinis (western mosquitofish), 1771 nucleotides. RefSeq lists it as uncharacterized. The transcript is spliced from 4 exons. The record is from RefSeq and is a predicted model, not a curated record. Lineage: Eukaryota; Metazoa; Chordata; Actinopteri; Cyprinodontiformes; Poeciliidae.
ACCUACACGCACGCACACAUACGAUUUUUACUGAACUUUGUGGUGACAACGUGCUGUAGAAUCCCAAACUAUCUAAUUCUCAGCGUGUCUUCCCCAAAACGCUGCGUUCAUCGUUUCCAGUUGGCUUGUUGCAGGACUUGGCCACGUAUUGUCCGCCUCUGCGCACGCCUGACCCUGCAGAUGUGUGUUUUGGGUUGCUAUGCUGCUGUUGGACCCAUGAGCUGUUGCUGAGGUUGAGGUUUCUGACACUGGGCAGGUUGUUUGGCUUCCUGAAGACUUGGCAGUCAACAAGACUUCAUUGUGUUCUGCUGAAAUGUAAGGUUCUCCAUGCCAGGUCCAAAGUUUUUGGCUCAAGAAGAUCUGGUUGGAUUAUGAAAAAAAGGAGCCUCUAAGUAACCUGAGAAAGAACUUUGUUUUUCUUAUAAAAAUCUCUCCAAAACAUGGGUGAUGAAACCAUUAAACACUUUUAAGAGAGGUUGCUAUGCUGACAUUGAUGGCUCCUGAGAUAAGCAAGACGGGAGCACACUGGGGACAGAUUAUAAGAAACCCAACCCACCUUGUCAAAGCCUUGCUGUCCAACUGGCUGUCUGUGAACUGGGGAAAUGAAUUCCUUAAGAAUCCUCUUUGGCCAGCCAUAUGUCUUCCCUCCUCUCUCUUUGUCCAUGGUCUCUUUUCCCUCUGUCAAUCAGGAUCAGAGCCAAGUCUUCCCACAAUGGCUGCCACCAGUACUGCACCCUGUUAAGGCUACAAUUUCCAAGCCCAUUCUCCAACUGACUAAUUAGUGUUAUGGUUAGUUAGCAUUUUUGGCAGCCUGCAGGUACCCCGUGACAUUAUGUCUAAAGCACUUGUCAAAACAUUGGUUGAAGGAGCCGUGCUGGCCUGCUGGCUGGGGAUGCUGGGGCAGCAUCACGGGACGUGGUGAAGAGGAUAGCAGGAGCCAGAGAAAUUGUGGGUGGGCAACAAAAAGGAAGAGAUCUUGGCGUCUCAGGAAGGGCCUGACGGCCCCAGUCUCCAGGCUCUCUGCCCAUAAGCAGCAGCAGGAAGCAGAAAGACAGGCAUUAGCUGAGCUUGGCUGCAGUGACUUGCAUACUGCAAACCUCCACUUAAUGCCCAGAAUCAAUCAUUUCUCUUAUUUACAAAUUAUAUUUUUGAUAGAAUGCAGUGCACAAGCUUGGAGAAAGUGCAACUAAAACAUUAAGAGAAAAAGAAAGAAACCUUCAGCCUUCUAACUAUAUGAAGUGGACACUAAUUUGUACCAGUAGAACCCAGACUGUGGGACUCCCAAUCCACAAUCUGGAUCGGUAGAAAUGUUUAAUAGAAAAACAUUUCUUUAUAUUAAAAAGAAAACAUUUCUUUUAACAUAUGCUUAGUUAGACAGUGUUGUACUUCCUACUGUUUAAUUUUGUUUUGACAGUUUUAUCUUCCUUACCUGACAUUUCAUGUCCCCUAUUUUAUGCAUUUCAUGUUUUAUGUAUUUUUUAAUGUGUAUGUAAUGGCUGCAAUUACAGCCACUGAAAUCCGGUAAUGUCUUCAUCACGCCGCUACAGUAGAGAACGGUAUAUUGUGAAAUAAUAGAUUUUGGUUUAGAAUUAAUUUAUUUACACAAUCAUAUAAUAUUUAUCCUAAAAUAAGUGUGCACAUUAAGUGUGCGUUUUUCAAACUUCAAGGUGUGUACUGUCACUUACUGUUGAUGUGUGUAAAUGUUAACUCACAUUAAUUUUAAUUUUGUAUCAUGAAGAUAAAUAAAUAAUGCUUUAUUUAAUGUAUAAAA